Molecule: transfer RNA, 72 nt
Filed under: Camelus bactrianus (Bactrian camel)
Lineage: Eukaryota; Metazoa; Chordata; Mammalia; Artiodactyla; Camelidae
Also listed under: 3 other names
Rfam family: tRNA
About the family: Transfer RNA (tRNA) molecules are approximately 80 nucleotides in length. Their secondary structure includes four short double-helical elements and three loops (D, anti-codon, and T loops).
Source: Rfam by way of RNAcentral
GAAGGUAUAGCUCAGUGGUAGAGUGUGUGCUUAGCAUGCACGAGGUCCUGGGUUCAAUCCCCAGUACCUCCA